RNAcentral lists this transfer RNA (74 nucleotides) under Vitrella brassicaformis. Lineage: Eukaryota; Vitrellaceae. The record is from RNAcentral.
GCUGGCAUGGUGUAGUUGGUUAUCACGUACGCCUCACACGCGUAAGGUCCCCGGUUCGAGCCCGGGUGCCAGUA